GUGAUCAGUGACAUGGGACUGAAUACAACACGAGUGGCAUUGGAAUACAUCGCCGUAAUACACUGUCGAGCUGUUGGUAUAGAAGGGUCAUCCGCUGCUGCAGUUUGUUCUAUAUACCUAUGUCGCUGCGCCUUCAGACUUCCGUACACCUGGCCCAAAACACCUGCUCACUCGCUCCCUCCCGCUCACCUGUCUCAAGGCUCAGGUGAAGAAGACUCAAUCUGAAGCACCUCAAUGUAGCGUUAUUAGAAGGUCCUAUUCACCCCUGUCGACUACCCUGCCAGCCUGUCUUCGUCUUCCUCGUCUUGGCAGGGGAAAGAAAUACAGAGCAGCAGGGAAACAGGCGG
This is a long non-coding RNA of Eriocheir sinensis (Chinese mitten crab), 347 nucleotides long. RefSeq lists it as uncharacterized. NCBI's taxonomy places the organism in Eukaryota, Metazoa, Arthropoda, Malacostraca, Decapoda, Varunidae. The record is from RefSeq and is a predicted model, not a curated record. The transcript is spliced from 3 exons.